GUGAAAAGCAUAUUUUAUCCUCUGAUCUGCGUUCUCAAAAUUCUGGAUUUCAUCUUUCUUUGUUGAAAGCUGUUGGAAGAGAUGAUAAUUCUUUGGAUUGAACAAGUACUUUUUAUUGAACAAAUACCUGUUCUAGAUUACUACAUCUUCUAUUCUUCAUUGUUUUCUUACUCAUUUCAAUCUCUGUUAGCCAUCUUUAAGAAUUCAGAUUCAGAACAACCAUUUAUGAACUUUCCUGGUGGCAUUUUAUCUAGC
Molecule: unclassified non-coding RNA, 255 nt
Filed under: Hevea brasiliensis (rubber tree)
Lineage: Eukaryota; Viridiplantae; Streptophyta; Magnoliopsida; Malpighiales; Euphorbiaceae
Source: RNAcentral